RNAcentral lists this unclassified non-coding RNA (83 nucleotides) under Halpernia humi. Its description in RNAcentral is "Chryseobacterium humi Flavo-1 RNA". The record is from RNAcentral. Lineage: Bacteria; Pseudomonadati; Bacteroidota; Flavobacteriia; Flavobacteriales; Weeksellaceae.
CCUGCAGCCCGACUUGAGUGCAGCUCUUUUUUUGUGUAGCAAAGCGGAACAAAAAAAAGCGGGAACGGAAGGCGGAAAUUGCU